AUUGAACGCUGGCGGCAGGCCUAACACAUGCAAGUCGAGCGAGCGGCGGACGGGUGCGUAAUGUCUGGGCAACUGCCUGAUGGAGGGGGAUAACUACUGGAAACGGUAGCUAAUACCGCAUAACAUCAGAUGUGCCAAUAUGGGAUGAGCUCGUAGGUGGGGUAAUGGCUCACCUAGGCGACGAUCCCUAGCUGGUCUGAGAGGAUGACCAGUCACACGGGAACUGAGACACGGUCCAGACUCCUACGGGAGGCAGCAGGGGGGAAUAUUGCACAAUGGGCGCAAGCCUGAUGCAGCCAUGCCGCGUGUGUGAAGAAGGCCUUCGGGUUGUAAAGCACUUUCAGCGGGGAGGCGUUACCCGCAGAAGAAGCACCGGCUAACUCCGUGCCAGCAGCCGCGGUAAUUC
RNAcentral lists this ribosomal RNA (406 nucleotides) under uncultured bacterium. RNAcentral's name for it is "partial 16S ribosomal RNA". It matches the Rfam family "Bacterial small subunit ribosomal RNA", at positions 30 to 526 of the family's 1533-position model. The record is from RNAcentral.